UUGGUUCCCGUUUGCAUUUCAGGCCAAGAGGGAACUCUGGCCUCAGAAGAACGGCCAGGAAAAAACAUGCACCUUGAGCUGGGUUCCAAUCAGCAAAACUUCAGCAAGCGCUUACUUCUGGCCAACUCAGGUCACCCGCAGCCAGGUGCAAAGUAAGGACACCAAAGUCAUAUGACCGGAAGGCUCCCACCCCGAUCUGAACUUGAGUGCCGAUGACUCAAAGCCUCCUGUAAUUUCCUCUAACCUGAUGAGCGCUCCCGCGUGGGUGGUGUCAGAUUGGAUCCAGACGUGAGGAGAAAGGCAAGAAGCAGCUGAAUGAGUGCUGGGUUUUUGGACAAGCUGCAGAAAUACAGGAGGGAGCCCGAAGACCUGAAAGAGCCAGCCUUCAAGGAAGCUGCCACAGAGAGAAUAUUCAUCCGUGCAGACACCACCUCAGGGGUUCAGGCCUGUGCAUCUGCUUUAGAA
This 465-nucleotide long non-coding RNA is filed under the name Rhinopithecus bieti (black snub-nosed monkey). Its description in RNAcentral is "lncRNA (ENSRBIG00000046006.1)". Lineage: Eukaryota; Metazoa; Chordata; Mammalia; Primates; Cercopithecidae. The record is from RNAcentral.